AGACGUCUACAUUAGACUACCCCCGUAGUCCCAGCCGUAAACUAUGCGCGUUAGGUGUAUCGGUGACCACGAGUUACCGAGGUGCCGAAGGGAAACCGUGAAACGUGCCGCCGUGGGAAGUACGGUCGCAAGGCUAGAAACUUAAAGGAAUUGGCGGGGAGCACCACAACAGGUGGAGCCUGCGGUUUAAUUGGACUCAACGCCGGGAAGCUCACCGGAUAGGACAGCAGAAUGAUUGCCGGGCUGAAGACCCUGCAUGACUAGCUG
Molecule: ribosomal RNA, 267 nt
Filed under: uncultured archaeon
Lineage: Archaea
Description: partial 16S ribosomal RNA
Rfam family: Archaeal small subunit ribosomal RNA
Source: RNAcentral